ACCUCGUUGUGGAUAAGCUUGACC
This 24-nucleotide non-coding RNA is filed under the name Arabidopsis thaliana (thale cress). Lineage: Eukaryota; Viridiplantae; Streptophyta; Magnoliopsida; Brassicales; Brassicaceae. The record is from RNAcentral.